UCCUACGGGAGGCAGCAGUGGGGAAUUUUCCGCAAUGGGCGAAAGCCUGACGGAGCAAUACCGCGUGAGGGAAGAAGGCUCUUGGGUUGUAAACCUCUUUUCUUAGGGAAUAAAAAAAUGAAGGUACCUAAGGAAUAAGCAUCGGCUAACUCCGUGCCAGCAGCCGCGGUAAGACGGAGGAUGCAAGCGUUAUCCGGAAUGAUUGGGCGUAAAGCGUCCGCAGGUGGCAGUUCAAGUCUGCUGUCAAAGACCGGGGCUCAACCUCGGAAAGGCAGUGGAAACUGAACAGCUAGAGUAUGGUAGGGGCAAAGGGAAUUCCUGGUGUAGCGGUGAAAUGCGUAGAGAUCAGGAAGAACAUCGGUGGCGAAGGCGCUUUGCUGGACCAUAACUGACACUCAGGGACGAAAGCUAGGGGAGCGAAAGGGAUUAGAUACCCCAGUAGUCA
Molecule: ribosomal RNA, 445 nt
Filed under: uncultured Microcoleus sp.
Lineage: Bacteria; Bacillati; Cyanobacteriota; Cyanophyceae; Oscillatoriales; Microcoleaceae
Description: bacterial SSU rRNA
Rfam family: Bacterial small subunit ribosomal RNA
Source: RNAcentral